GUGCACUCCCUUCAGCAGCACAUAUACUGAAACUGGAAGCAUACAGAGAUCAGCAUGGCCCCUGCACAAGGAUGACAUGCAAAUUCCGGAAUUGUUUCAUAUUUUU
Molecule: small nuclear RNA, 106 nt
Filed under: Moschus moschiferus (Siberian musk deer)
Lineage: Eukaryota; Metazoa; Chordata; Mammalia; Artiodactyla; Moschidae
Source: RNAcentral